UGGAAUAUAAUUCACUUGAUUGACACUUGAAAAUUAGGUGUACAUGUAUUCUUUCAUUGAACUCUCUGUCUUGUCUUGAUGGCUCAAUGGGGGCAAGCCAUCCAUGUCAAAUUGAGGUCUUUGAUGGAAUGAUUGUAGUUUCUUUAAUAAGAGGCUAAAUAUUCAAGUUGAAGUCUCCAAUUCUAAGUCAAGUUGAUUUUGCCAAGUCUGUUACAUCAUCAAUUUGAAAUGUUCAGCCCGCUAGGUCUUAAAGUUAUAGUUUUCAAAUCUUCCAUGUCUUGAAAUCGAAGUCUUCAAAUCUAUCAAGUCUUCAAGAUAAAGUCUUCAAACUUGCACUGCCUCCAAGAUAAAGUGUUCAAGUUCGUAGUCUUCAAGUAAAUUCUGCCAAGUCUUGAAGAAGUACGCAAGUUAAACUCUUCAAAGCCACCAAGUCUUCAAGUGAAGAAGCUGACAAUAUAGCCUUGGGGUCUUCAAAUAAUUAUAAAGAAGAAAAAUUAUUUAUUUUAUUCUUCGGUUGCGACGCUUUCUUUUAUAAGUGAAGUAUUUGAUUAGACGAUAUACUGGUCUUCACCUAGGACAAAGUAAAAUCUUCAGCUUAGAUGGUAAUAUAAUCUUCAUCUUGGACAAAAUGGAGUCUUGGGCUAAGACGGUAUAAUGGUCUUUACCUCGGAUAUUGUAAAGUCUUUGGCUUCGACGGUUUAAUAGUCUUUGCCUCGGAUGAUGUAAAGUCUUCUGCUUAGACGGUGUAAUGGUCUUUGUUUGGAUAAAGUAAAGUCUUUGACUUAGACCGUGCAGUGGUCUUCACCUCGACAAAGUAAAGUCUUUGACUUAGAUAAUGUAAUGGCUCUUUGCCUCGGAUGAAGUAAAGUCUUCAGCUUAGACAGUGUGAUGAUUUUCGCAUGGGACAAAGUAAAAUCUUUGAGUUAGAUGGUGUAAUAGUCUUCACAUCUGGCAAAGUAUAAUCUUCAACUUAAAUGAUGUAAUGAUCUUUGUCUCCGAAGUUAUAAAUUCUUCUACUGGAGACAUCGUAAAAUCUUUGCCUUGACCAAGGUAAAAUAAAGUAUUCGCCUCAAACGGGGUAAAGUAACUCAAAGAACUUAUAUAAUAACUGAUGUUUCCUCCUUUGAACCUGAAAAGAAAUGACAACAAAGAAAGAACAAAAUAAAUACAAGAGAUGGGAAGGGAUUACCUACAGGAAAAAGAAGAUAUUAGUAUUCUUAAUCCAGGAAGUUAUUGACAUCUUGUACUGGUUGUAUAAAAAGAAAAGGCAACGAUGAAAUAGCAUGGCAAAAAUAGGCCAGCACAAGGAUAUGUACGCGAAAGAAAGAAAGUUAGAACGGAAAAGAAAAUGAUUAGAAGAAUAAGUGCAACGAUGUCACGUUCUAACUUUAACUCAAUUAAACCCUGAAGAAUCAUUCAAUGUUUGGAAAAUAUUGUACGAAGCACCGAUAAAAUGGGUCGCCUUUACAUGCACUAAUUACUUAGUCAUAUAGGGCAUGUCACGUUCAUGUGUAGGGCAAGUGCUUAUUUUAACAAAGAAGGUUCCAGUGAAGUGAAAGACGAAUCAAGAUUAAAAGGCCUAGCUUUAUGAGAAACGAGAUCAAACAGGAUGGCUAAUGAUACUAGCUAAUAUGCAAGAUUCUAGUAUCUAUGUACUGUAGUUCUUAUUAGGCAAAAGUGGAAUUGGCGGACAUUUGGAUUAUUUUAUUAACUUUACAUUAAACUUAAGAAAUGAAUUCUAUGGCCUUUCAAGUUAAGAUGUCAUGGUUAUUAAACUAUGAUGCUUCAGCAAAUAAAGUGAACCUAGUAAAGGAAGAUUUCAUUGAUUCAAGUGAGAAAAUGAUUCUUAGAGGCUACUGUGUGUAAAAUAUCAAUGCCACCAAAAUUUUAGAAGAAAAAAUAAAUCAAAUAAAAAACAAUCUGUGAAGAAUCAGCAAUUGAGAGAAUAAAGCGUAACCCGUACUUGGAGUAUUCCUUUGGUAACUACUUGGUAACAUAUAAAGCAGGAGAAUCAACAUAUUCUUUAUGGGAAAGAGAACACUACAUAAAAUUCAAAAGAAACAAGAUUGAGUUGAAUUUACCGGGAGAAGUUUACUGUCGAGUGUGCCUGUGUUUUAUCAACC
Molecule: long non-coding RNA, 2123 nt
Filed under: Nicotiana tabacum (common tobacco)
Lineage: Eukaryota; Viridiplantae; Streptophyta; Magnoliopsida; Solanales; Solanaceae
Description: long non-coding RNA (NTAB_LNC004795)
Source: RNAcentral